AAUGGUCUUUUCUCAAGGUAAUUGAAACAAAAAUUUCCUAAACAAAUGAGAGUGAUCACUUCUCAAAUUCUCAAGCAUUUACAACUUCAUUCACCUUUUCCUCUUUACUCAAUUGUUACAUCCUUGAACACAACUUAUUAGCAUAAAAUGUUUGAUAUAUUUUUUCCUUUUUCUUUUCUUUCUUUUUCCAAUUUUUUCUUUUUCUUUCUCACCCUCUUAGCAACCUACAUUUUUCUCCCCAACUUGAUUACAACCAAUCAUUAUAAUGUGAAU
RNAcentral lists this long non-coding RNA (273 nucleotides) under Lathyrus oleraceus (garden pea). RNAcentral describes it as "Pisum sativum (pea) long non-coding RNA (PSAT_LNC028120)". The record is from RNAcentral. Lineage: Eukaryota; Viridiplantae; Streptophyta; Magnoliopsida; Fabales; Fabaceae.